Long non-coding RNA from Cyprinus carpio carpio, 1333 nucleotides. Lineage: Eukaryota; Metazoa; Chordata; Actinopteri; Cypriniformes; Cyprinidae. The record is from Ensembl.
GUCAGACAGCUAAGCUGGAGUUUGCACACUAGACAGAAGAGGACUGGGAAAGCCGUUACCGGGGAAACCUCGAUCUCUACAACUACAACAGCGACUCCUGCUGGCAGAGAAUGAGUUUGCAUAUAAGGCGGGCCUUCAUCAAACCCCGAACAAAUCAAGCAGUUUGAACCAGGCUGGAGAGAAAGAAAACAAGACACCAGAUGCUCUGUAAAUAUCGAAAAUUUAACGAUGGACACACAUUGAGAUGCAGCUCAGCUGAUGUUCACAUUAUUCCACGUAUAUCUUCAAAUUUGAACAUGACCAAAUGGUGGUUAUAUUUCCAAGGCAGAAGAAGAGAGAAUCUCCUUUGUGAGAGAAGCCUCUUGUGUCACUGUGUGCUGAGGACUGUGAUAUCUCAGCAGGCCAAACACCACGUUCCUCUUCAGGAAGUAUUGAGCCCCAGUUGAUGCUCCUGGCCCCCAGGUGAACUCUGUAAAUGCCCGGUCCCUCUUUUCUUCUCUUCUAUACCUCUCUGUUCGUGUCCUUCCUCCCUUGUGUACAGACUACCUUAAAAAAAAAAAAACAACUCCAGCUAGCUUCAAAGUGUCCUUUUUGUCUGUUGAAUGAUGCUUGUUGUUUGUAGUUUUAAAUGUCUUGUCAUUUACGAUAAAAUGCAAAUGUACUGAAGUGCCAGACUAGACAUGCAUGUGUGGGUGAUUUCUUAUGCAAUAUGUCCAUCUGAGACAGUCUUGAUUUAUUAAUGUUUUGAUAUCUGGAUGAUUUUUUGAUACAUGAAGGUACUGUAUGUAUACAUAUUUUAAUUUAUAAAUUAAAAACUGGAGACAAACAACAAUAAUUGAACACUACAAUUAGCCAUAAAUGUCAAGAAUAUAGUCAAUACUACUUGAUGAUGGGCACUAGUUAUUAUAUUAUUGUCAUUUUUUCCUCAACCCUAUGUUGUUUUAACCCCUUUGUUUUUGUCCUGUAAAACACAAAUGGAGUUUUAGGCAGGAUAUCAGAGCUCCUGAUUUCCAUGCAGGGAAUCCAACAUUUGAUCUGUUAAGCUUCAAAAGGACAAAAAACAUCCAUAAAAGUGUGUGUUUUUUGAAAGUCUGACUCUUGACACAAUUUAUUGAGUUUUAAAUGCAUAUUUGUGCAGUAACAGAAUGUAUUAGUGAUGCAGUAGCAAUAUGAAUUUUGGAAUAGAUUACACAUCUGUCAGGAGAGAUAAUGUAUGUUCAGCCUGUUUUCUUAGCAGACCGUUUUAAUUCUACAACAAAUUAUUGGUCUCAUAUCCAUGUUUAGCUGUCACAUUCAUCUCGCAAGAAUUUUUACCAGACAUUUUGAUUGUCUU